GGACUUGUGGUUCAGUGGUAGAGCGCUUGCCUAGCAUGCAUGAGUCACUGAGUUUGAUCCUCAGCACCA
Molecule: transfer RNA, 69 nt
Filed under: Marmota monax (woodchuck)
Lineage: Eukaryota; Metazoa; Chordata; Mammalia; Rodentia; Sciuridae
Rfam family: tRNA
About the family: Transfer RNA (tRNA) molecules are approximately 80 nucleotides in length.
Source: Rfam by way of RNAcentral